GUGAGUAGUUCAGAGUUUGAUCCUGGCUCAGGAUGAACGCUAGCUACAGGCUUAACACAUGCAAGUCGAGGGGCAGCAUGUUGGUUGCUUGCAACCAAUGAUGGCGACCGGCGCACGGGUGAGUAACGCGUAUCCAACCUUCCCCUUACUCGGGUCCAGCCCGUUGAAAGACGGAUUAAUCCCCGAUGCUCUCAUAUGCUGGCAUCAGUUUAUGAGCAAAGAUUUAUCGGUAAGGGAUGGGGAUGCGUAUGAUUAGCUUGUUGGUGUGGUAACGGCUCACCAAGGCUACGAUCAUUAGGGGUUCUGAGAGGAAGGUCCCCCACACUGGAACUGAGACACGGUCCAG
RNAcentral lists this ribosomal RNA (346 nucleotides) under uncultured bacterium. Its description in RNAcentral is "bacterial SSU rRNA". It matches the Rfam family "Bacterial small subunit ribosomal RNA", at positions 1 to 334 of the family's 1533-position model. The record is from RNAcentral.